This 274-nucleotide ribosomal RNA is filed under the name uncultured bacterium. Its description in RNAcentral is "partial 16S ribosomal RNA". It matches the Rfam family "Bacterial small subunit ribosomal RNA", at positions 523 to 796 of the family's 1533-position model. The record is from RNAcentral.
AUACGGAGGGUGCAAGCGUUGUUCGGAAUCAUUGGGCGUAAAGCGGGUGUAGGCGGCUUGGCAAGUCGGUUGUGAAAUCCCUGGGCCCAACCCAGGAACUGCAAUCGAAACUGCCUCGCUAGAGUCUCGGAGAGGGUGGCGGAAUUCCCGGUGUAGAGGUGAAAUUCGUAGAUAUCGGGAGGAACACCAGUGGCGAAGGCGGCCACCUGGACGAUGACUGACGCUCAGACCCGAAAGCGUGGGGAGCAAACAGGAUUAGAAACCCCAGUAGUCC